GACGAACGCUGGCGGCGUGCUUAACACAUGCAAGUCGAACGAAGUGGCGAACGGGUGAGUAACGCGUAAUCAACCUGCCCUUCAGAGGGGGACAACAGUUGGAAACGACUGCUAAUACCGCAUCCUGAAGGUGGGGAUUGCGCCUGAGUCGCGAGUUGGAGGGGUAACGGCCGACCAAGGCGAUGACCAGUAGCCGGUCUGCAAGGAUGAACGGCGACAUUGGGACUGGUGAACGGCCCAAACUCCUACGGGGGGCAGGAGUGGGGAAUCUUCCGCAAUGGGCGAAAGUCUGACGGAGCAACGCCGCGUGAGUGAUGACGGCCUUCGGGUUGUAAAGCUCUGUUAGUCGGGACGCGGUACCGGAAUAGAAAGCCACGGCUAACUACGUGCCAGCAGCCGCGGUAAUAC
Molecule: ribosomal RNA, 408 nt
Filed under: uncultured bacterium
Lineage: Bacteria
Description: partial 16S ribosomal RNA
Rfam family: Bacterial small subunit ribosomal RNA
Source: RNAcentral